GUGUCAGCCGCCGCGGUAAUACGGAGGUUGCAAGCGUUAUCCGGAUUUAUUGGGUUUAAAGGGUGCGUAGGCGGGAUAAUAAGUCAGUGGUGAAAACCUGCAGCUUAACUGUAGAACUGCCAUUGAUACUGUUAUUCUUGAGUAUAGUUGAGGUAGGCGGAAUGUGUAGUGUAGCGGUGAAAUGCUUAGAUAUUACACAGAACACCGAUUGCGUAGGCAGCUUACUAAACUAUAACUGACGCUGAGGCACGAAAGCGUGGGGAUCAAACAGGAUUAGAAACCCGCGUAGUCC
Molecule: ribosomal RNA, 292 nt
Filed under: uncultured bacterium
Lineage: Bacteria
Description: partial 16S ribosomal RNA
Rfam family: Bacterial small subunit ribosomal RNA
Source: RNAcentral